GAUAUGCAGACCGCGCCGGCUACAUUAGCACGAAAAAAACCUGUUGUUGAGCUAGCAUGCUAGUUGCAAUUUGCUGAACUUUAUGUUCUCGGUUUCAGUGUGGGUCGUUCAUUAUAGUCUUUCAUUACUGCUACAAUUUUAUUGCACAUUUCCCCUUUACUCCCAUGAAGAAAUAUUCAUUUUCCCACAGUGUCUGAAACUUCCUGCACUCACUUUUUAGCACUCACUUGUGUUUCUUUGGUUCUGCCAUUUUUGGACGCCACAGCAAAACAUUUAAUGUAUUGUUCGUGUUUCUGGAGAGCUACCUUGUAUAAGACAGCAAAAGUGCAAUACAUAGUACUACUAUAUUAGCUAUGUAUUUAUUGAGGUAACGGAGUACAAUAUGUAUUUCUUUAGGUAGCAGAGUACAUUAUGCUUAUUUUGGGUGGGCUAAGAUCCGUUAAGUAAUUACCUUGUAGACAAUUGUAUACAUUAAGUCAAUUUUUAAGUCCAUUUGAUCGAUCGAUUUUUACUGCAAGUAAGCCUAUUUGUUAAUUUUUUCGCAAAUACUUUUAACAAUGCCUAAAUUAAGAGAAUGUACAGAAAGGACUGCGUCCUCCAAAAAUUGUAAUGAGUUCAUCAUCCACAUUCUUUUUAUCAAUUCAGUAAACUUGUUAACUUUGCCUUAGGGUAAACUAUUUCUAUGUUCAGGAUGCGAGUACGCUGUCCACCACAGUGUGGUUCCUACCUGUUGCUGUGUUGAAGGUUUCUUCAGUAACCACCUAAAAACAUGAGGUGGGAUCACGGGUUAGAACGGAGACGGAUCCAGCACACAUACUGGAAAGGACACAGAUCAUCAGACCAAUAAAGAAGACUGUUCCAAAGAAUCCACCAACUAUCAGAGGGACAUUCAAUCCUGGAGGAGACAAAAAAAUGGAUUCGUGGCCACGCAGUAGUAGAUUUCUCUGUAGCUGGACACAUUGAAGCUGUACAAAGAUCCAUCCGACACGUUCAGGGGUCCCUCCGCACUGCUCCGGAACCAGGUGAACCGGAGAACGGGGGGGUUGGCUCUGCUGGUGCAAGUCAGGUUGACCACACUGCCCAGCGACACCGUGGGGGGGCUGACGGAGGCCUGGGUAUCCUUCGGGGAAUCUACAGGAACACAAGAUAAGUCUUCAAUUUCAAGCUAUGGUUCCGCUGUUGACGGAUUUGAAUGCAGUAUGUAAACGCUUUGCGCUUCUCAGCCGCCCCGGCUCACUGAUUGGACCGUCUGCUGGUCACUCACAGGAAACGUUGAGCGUCACAACGCUCUCUGCUGUUCUGAUGCUGGGCCCGCCUGCUGGGACGUUCACCGGAUACUCCGCCAGACAGGUGAGGCGGACCCCGUCAUGUCGGUCCGACAGAGUGAUAUUCAGCCGCCGGGUCCUGACGUUAGGCUCUUGGUCUCCGUGCGGUUCCAGCCGGCCCUCAGGGCCUCCCGACUGGUUCCAGCUCAGGUGAGGCGGCUGGGUGGGACAGGGUGCGAUGGCCCUGCAGGUGAACGUUACCCUGCUCCCCUCCGUUAGUGGUCCCUCCUGGACGGUCUGUAUGGAGGGUGCUGGGGCUGAAUCUACGUGGUUGUUUUCAAGAAACAUUUGUUUUAGGCUGAAAUGUAGCUUCAAUAUCCACAUGAAUGAAUGCAGCAUGUUCAGUGUUCACCAGUGUAUUCCAGAGGGGAGAAUAAUCAUCUUAAACACAUUAAAGAUUCUAUCAGGGAUACGAAGUGUGUCUGACCCCAUAGUCCACAAUAAGUAUUAUUUAUGACGGUAUAUAUACAUGACGGCAUAAAACAUUGAUUAAACAUUCCUUUAUAAUCAAAAUACAAUUCUGUGCUAUCGAUACUUUAAUUCUAUACAAGGAUAACAAGUAUCUCUGACCAAUCAGGACGUAGCUGAAAAUCUAAAAUUAUCAUAAUCAUGGAAAUAGGAAUCCAAAUAAUUAUAAUAAUUGCUGCCCUCAAAAAAUAGACAACCCAAACCAAACGGGUUCUCUUACCUUUAACUGUGAUUGUAAGAGGAUUGCAGAUGUCAGUUGCCCUGAAACCGGUGCUUUCCACUCUGAAGUAAUACACGUCAGCAUAACUUGUGAUUAUGUUUGUAAAAACAGUUGUGCAGUUGUAUUCUGUCAUAUUCCCAAUGAUACUAAUUGGAUACUUAUUAUCUUGAUUGUUGCUGUGGAAAACCACAUUUUCUGGACGACCGUCAAAACUGUGGUCAGAUUUGAUCCAUGCACCCAAAAUGUUUUUGUUUUUAUCUAUUUUAUUUGAUGGUACUGAAUCAAAUGAACAUGGAAUUUGCAAACAGGUGUCACUCAAUGCCUCCAUCUUGUUUGGCAUAGAUGCAUUAAGGGCUGCAGUACAGGAUUCCUCAUCACCUGCAACACAAGCAUUUUUUACACAAAUUGGCCAAUGACAUGCAUCCUUCCUGUCCCACCACAUCCUCCUCUAACAGGCUGGCCACACCUCUUCUAGACCGGCAUCACAUUCUGAACAUACAUACAUUCUGGAUACAUUUCAGUUAUCGAUUACAGGCAGAUAAGCAGUCUGUUAGGUGUAAAACGAAUGACUCAUUCUGGGUCUUGUAAGACGGGUCUGUUGGCGUGGUAUUACCUAAACAUAUUCAGUACUUGGAUCCAAAUAUUCACAAUAAAACAAUUGAACACCACUCACCCGAAACAAAGAUGACAUUCAGUAGCAUUUCCAACUUGAUCAUCGUGAUGUAUCUUGUGAACCUCAUCUCCUGCAUCAUGAAUUCAAAGAAGGUUACUGUUGAGGUUCAUUCGUUUUAGUUUUUACUGUGGACUGGGUUAAGGUAACUACAUCUUCGUUGUUGUACAAAUACUACAAAUAACCAUUAUGGAAAUAGAGUAGGCUACAUGGAACAACAUUAGUAACAAGA
Gadus chalcogrammus (walleye pollock) is the source of this 2915-nucleotide long non-coding RNA. RefSeq lists it as uncharacterized. The transcript is spliced from 3 exons. The record is from RefSeq and is a predicted model, not a curated record. Lineage: Eukaryota; Metazoa; Chordata; Actinopteri; Gadiformes; Gadidae.